Molecule: non-coding RNA, 315 nt
Organism: Heterocephalus glaber (naked mole-rat)
Lineage: Eukaryota; Metazoa; Chordata; Mammalia; Rodentia; Bathyergidae
Source: RefSeq, a predicted model, not a curated record
CAGGUGUGCACUGCUCCCAGCUGUGUGGUCUCCCUUGCUGAACCUGCUGCUUGCAAGUGUGAACAGGAGCAGGGCAGAGAAGACACUUGGUUCUCCGUGCAGAAAAGGCUUGGAAAUGAUCCACAGGGGACCUGCAUUUCACUUGGCACCAUGGUUUCCAGAGAAUUGAGAAGCAUCUAAUCCACUUUUUAAGAAACAUCACUUAAGUAACAGAAUGAAUUGAAGACUUGUGGGUAAGGUGGUGCCAUGAGUACAGAUUAAGAAUUAAGUCUCAUGGAUUUCUACAACAAUCAAUUUCAAGUGUUGACCCAGCAG